GAGGGAUUAAUUUCGCAAGGGAGUUGAUUGGUGCAGCGAUAGAAAAGUGAAUGGUAUUGCGGAGAGUACAUUACAGUCAUCCAAGUCGCGGCAACGACUGUGGGUUUCGCAUCGUCUAUCACUGCUCCGUUUCAUCCUGUUGCGAUCCGCUGGGUCGGACCCCUUUCAAAGCAUGGUCAGCUGAAUCCUCUUCGCGCAAGAGUGGGGCAUCUCGGUGACUGAUCUUCCAUCUUGGGUGCCAAGUCGGUGCAUUCCAAGGGCAAUUCCAUGAAUUCCCGGUGCCUUCUGAAAUGGUCCGCAGUUCAAGCCUCGGUCCCACCUCUGAAUCUGUCUUAGGCAAAAGCCUAUAGCCAAGUCUAUAAUUGUCGCAACAAAUCACAAAAUCAUAAAGACAUGGACCCAGUUGUAGAUAUCGAGUACCCAAGACAUAUGUGCGAGU
RNAcentral lists this long non-coding RNA (439 nucleotides) under Physcomitrium patens. Its description in RNAcentral is "long non-coding RNA (PPAT_LNC005047)". The record is from RNAcentral. Lineage: Eukaryota; Viridiplantae; Streptophyta; Bryopsida; Funariales; Funariaceae.